UUAACUGGGCGUUAAGUUGCAGGGUAUAGACCCGAAACCCGGUGAUCUAGCCAUGGGCAGGUUGAAGGUUGGGUAACACUAACUGGAGGACCGAACCGACUAAUGUUGAAAAAUUAGCGGAUGACUUGUGGCUGGGGGUGAAAGGCCAAUCAAACCGGGAGAUAGCUGGUUCUCCCCGAAAGCUAUUUAGGUAGCGCCUCGUGAAUUCAUCUUCGGGGGUAGAGCACUGUUUCGGCUAG
RNAcentral lists this ribosomal RNA (239 nucleotides) under Citrobacter portucalensis. RNAcentral's name for it is "partial 23S ribosomal RNA". It matches the Rfam family "Bacterial large subunit ribosomal RNA", at positions 684 to 922 of the family's 2925-position model. Lineage: Bacteria; Pseudomonadati; Pseudomonadota; Gammaproteobacteria; Enterobacterales; Enterobacteriaceae. The record is from RNAcentral.